This 380-nucleotide ribosomal RNA is filed under the name uncultured eukaryote. Its description in RNAcentral is "partial 18S ribosomal RNA". It matches the Rfam family "Eukaryotic small subunit ribosomal RNA", at positions 592 to 976 of the family's 1831-position model. The record is from RNAcentral.
CAAUAGCGUAUAUUAAAGUUGUUGCAGUUAAAAAGCUCGUAGUUGGAUCUGUGGUGUGCGGUGGGCUCCGGGCACUUGUUGUCUGAGUAGCUCGCCGCUGCCAUCCUUGGGUGGAACCUGUGUGGCAUUAGGUUGUCGUGCAGGGGAUGCCCAUCGUUUACUGUGAAAAAAUUAGAGUGUUCAAAGCAGGCUUAUGCCGUUGAAUAUAUUAGCAUGGAAUAAUGAGAUAGGACUUUUUCGCUAUUUUGUUGGUUUGCGCGAAGAGGUAAUGAUUAAUUGGGACAGUUGGGGGUAUUCGUAUUCCAUUGUCAGAGGUGAAAUUCUUGGAUUUUUGGAAGACGAACUACUGCGAAAGCAUUUACCAAGGAUGUUUUCAUUAA